RNAcentral lists this ribosomal RNA (481 nucleotides) under uncultured bacterium. Its description in RNAcentral is "partial 16S ribosomal RNA". It matches the Rfam family "Bacterial small subunit ribosomal RNA", at positions 46 to 523 of the family's 1533-position model. The record is from RNAcentral.
GCUUAACACAUGCAAGUCGAGCGAGAAUCGUUUAUUGAAGGCUUCGGCUGGAAAUAGAUGAGGAAAGCGGCGAACGGGUGAGUAACGCGUGGGCAACCUGGCCUUAAGAAAAGGAUAGCCCCCGGAAACGGGGAGUAAUACUUUAUGAGAAUGAGAGAGGGCAUCCUACUUUCAUUCAAAGCCAAAGGACUAAAGGAUGGGCCCGCGUAUCAUUAGCUAGUUGGUGAAAUAACAGCCCACCAAGGCAACGAUGAUUAGCCGGUCUGAGAGGGCGAACGGCCACAUUGGAACUGAGAGACGGUCCAAACUCCUACGGGAGGCAGCAGUGGGGAAUAUUGCGCAAUGGAGAAGAACUCUGACGCAGCAAUACCGCGUGAGCGAAGAAGGUCUUCGGAUCGUAAAGCUCUGUUAUCAGGGAAGAAGAAAAUGACGGUACCUGAUGAGCAAGUCCCGGCUAACUACGUGCCAGCCGCCGCCGUAA